UAAGCUGAAGCCCGCUGGAUUGGGCGACUAGCUGUNAANUAGUUUUUUGCGGGGUCGAGUCCCGUCAGUUUAG
Molecule: transfer RNA, 73 nt
Filed under: Perochirus ateles
Lineage: Eukaryota; Metazoa; Chordata; Lepidosauria; Squamata; Gekkonidae
Description: tRNA-Asn
Rfam family: tRNA
About the family: Transfer RNA (tRNA) molecules are approximately 80 nucleotides in length. Their secondary structure includes four short double-helical elements and three loops (D, anti-codon, and T loops).
Source: RNAcentral